Non-coding RNA from Pelobates cultripes (western spadefoot toad), 116 nucleotides. NCBI's taxonomy places the organism in Eukaryota, Metazoa, Chordata, Amphibia, Anura, Pelobatidae. The record is from the annotation of a GenBank genome assembly.
AUUCUCUGUGUUUAAAGGCUGGAAGGAGAAAAGAAGAGCCUGCUUUUAGAAAAAGCUCAACCCCAAAAAAGCAGGCUGUUCUUUUCUCCUUCUGGCCUUUAAACACAGAGAAUUAA